AUUUGGUCUUCUUUAGGGUCGUAUGUUUCGGUCUAAGUUGAAUUUCUUAAGUGAUUUUUCAUUGUAAUUAAAUCCCAUCUCAUUUAAAUUAUAUCGCCUUUAUUUUUGUUAUGUCGAAGGCUAAUCCUUAUUAUCAUUUUUUAUUGCAUGGGAAAUCUGCUCGAGUUCGCCAUGAACUCCCUCUUCCUCCAUUCGCAUCUCAUUUCGGCCAUGAAGGCCCAAAUUUCUUUAGUUUUCGAGUCGGCCGGCCCAUUAAAAAAUGACGAACAGGUUCCGAAGUUGAAAGAGGCAAUAAACCGAGAAAUUGAAGUUUGGGCCAAAGGCCCGCUNNNN
RNAcentral lists this long non-coding RNA (333 nucleotides) under Solanum tuberosum (potato). RNAcentral's name for it is "long non-coding RNA (STUB_LNC001011)". Lineage: Eukaryota; Viridiplantae; Streptophyta; Magnoliopsida; Solanales; Solanaceae. The record is from RNAcentral.